GGAUGUGAGGGCGAUCUGGCUGCGACAUCUGUCACCCCAUUGAUCGCCAGGGUUGAUUCGGCUGAUCUGGCUGGCUAGGCGGGUGUCCCCUUCCUCCCUCACCGCUCCAUGUGCGUCCCUCCCGAAGCUGCGCGCUCGGUGGAAGAGGACGACGUCCCAGGUAUAGAAGGAGUGUACCGAGGUCUCCAGUCUUCGGUCCCGGGUAUACGAUAGCUGCGCUCCCCUGCUAGAACCUCCAAACAAGCUCAAGGUUGUCCAUCAUGUACAGUUUAUUAUUACUAUUAUUAUUAUUAAUAAUAAUAAUAGUAAU
RNAcentral lists this small nuclear RNA (310 nucleotides) under Anolis carolinensis (green anole). RNAcentral's name for it is "7SK RNA". It matches the Rfam family "7SK RNA". Rfam says of the family: 7SK was discovered as an abundant small nuclear RNA in the mid-70s but a possible function has only recently been suggested. Two independent studies have found that 7SK RNA binds the CDK9/cyclin T complex (known as elongation factor P-TEFb). The record is from Rfam by way of RNAcentral. Lineage: Eukaryota; Metazoa; Chordata; Lepidosauria; Squamata; Anolidae.